Molecule: long non-coding RNA, 500 nt
Organism: Cynoglossus semilaevis (tongue sole)
Lineage: Eukaryota; Metazoa; Chordata; Actinopteri; Pleuronectiformes; Cynoglossidae
Exons: 3
Source: RefSeq, a predicted model, not a curated record
GGCCGCAAUGGCGAAUGUAGAGGGACAGUUGGCGUUUUCAAAACGGAAAUACUAGCACUACUUAAGUUUCCUAGGGCUUAAAGGCAAGAAAAAUCUACACGUUGCGCGUACGUUAUGUCUCGAAGCGAAGUGUUGUCCACGUCCGUUGUGAGCAACUCUAAUUUACUGAAGCAUCUCUCAACGGCACACACUUCUACAAAACUAGUGGCCAGAAACACCGUUGUUGACACUGCUGACGAUGACAGCGGGCCAAGUGUAAAGCCUGGCAUGAACCUUGAGGACAGCCUGACCAGAGAAGCUGUGAAGGGGACAUUGUAACACGAUACAACGUGCUGAUCCCAGGAGACAAUCCUGAAUGAACAAAGGUGACAACAGAGCACUAUGAGUUUGCGCGACUUCCGUCUCUCCGAAGGAGCCACAGCUGGAGUGGCUCGUCCUACGCUGCCUUUAGUUGGGACCUGACCUUCGUCCUCUGGGUGUGAGCGACGUGUUCUUCCAGC